This 251-nucleotide ribosomal RNA is filed under the name uncultured bacterium. Its description in RNAcentral is "partial 16S ribosomal RNA". It matches the Rfam family "Bacterial small subunit ribosomal RNA", at positions 525 to 775 of the family's 1533-position model. The record is from RNAcentral.
ACGUAUGGUGCAAGCGUUAUCCGGAUUUACUGGGUGUAAAGGGAGCGUAGACGGAGAGGCAAGUCUGAUGUGAAAACCCGGGGCUCAACCCCGGGACUGCAUUGGAAACUGCUUUUCUAGAGUGUCGGAGAGGUAAGUGGAAUUCCUAGUGUAGCGGUGAAAUGCGUAGAUAUUAGGAGGAACACCAGUGGCGAAGGCGGCUUACUGGACGAUGACUGACGUUGAGGCUCGAAAGCGUGGGGAGCAAACAG